GAACGCAUAUUGCGCCUUCUGGUAUUCCGGAAGGCAUGCUUGUUUGAGUGUCAUGAAAUUCUCAACUACUUUUUUAACAUUUUAUGUGUUAAGGGUGAAGUUGGAGUUGGAGGAUCAUUGCUGGCGCAACUCUUGUCUAAGGUUGCUUGUUGGCUCCUCUUGAAUGGAUGAGCUUUUCUAAUGGAUCAUAGCUCAGUAACACUAAUGUGAUAAUUAUCUACGUUAGAUGUUAAAACUAUGAGUAGAGUGGAAGCUCCUAUAGAAAAGAAGAUAAUACGUCUUGGGUGAUAACAAACCCUUGAACUUUGACAAAUCUGACCUCAAAUCAGGUAGGACUACCCGCUGAACUUAAG
This 353-nucleotide unclassified non-coding RNA is filed under the name uncultured Pseudotomentella. RNAcentral's name for it is "sequence contains 5.8S rRNA gene". The stretch from base 1 to 53 matches the Rfam family "5.8S ribosomal RNA", at positions 102 to 154 of the family's 154-position model. Lineage: Eukaryota; Fungi; Basidiomycota; Agaricomycetes; Thelephorales; Thelephoraceae. The record is from RNAcentral.